This 102-nucleotide ribosomal RNA is filed under the name uncultured bacterium. RNAcentral describes it as "partial 16S ribosomal RNA". The record is from RNAcentral.
AAGAAGGCCUUCUGGGUUGUAAACUGCUUUUGCCAGGGGAUAAAAGACCCUUGCGAGGGAAAUUGAAGGUACCUGGUGAAUAAGCCACGGCUAACUACGUGC